This 398-nucleotide ribosomal RNA is filed under the name uncultured bacterium. RNAcentral describes it as "bacterial SSU rRNA". It matches the Rfam family "Bacterial small subunit ribosomal RNA", at positions 362 to 776 of the family's 1533-position model. The record is from RNAcentral.
UAUUGCACAAUGGGGGAAACCCUGAUGCAGCGACGCCGCGUGGGCGAGGAAGUAUUUCGGUAUGUAAAGCCCUGUCAGCGGGGAAGAAGAAUGACGGUACCCGACCAAGAAGCACCGGCUAAAUACGUGCCAGCAGCCGCGGUAAUACGUAUGGUGCAAGCGUUAUCCGGAUUUACUGGGUGUAAAGGGAGCGCAGGCGGCGCGCCAAGUCCGGUGUGAAAGCCCGGGGCUCAACCCCGGGACUGCACUGGAAACUGGCGAGCUAGAGUGCCGGAGGGGUAGGCGGAAUUCCUGGUGUAGCGGUGAAAUGCGUAGAUAUCAGGAGGAACACCGGUGGCGAAGGCGGCCUACUGGACGGCAACUGACGCUGAGGCUCGAAAGCGUGGGGAGCAAACAGG